This 709-nucleotide long non-coding RNA is filed under the name Nicotiana benthamiana. RNAcentral describes it as "long non-coding RNA (NBEN_LNC027183)". The record is from RNAcentral. Lineage: Eukaryota; Viridiplantae; Streptophyta; Magnoliopsida; Solanales; Solanaceae.
UGCCAAACAUCAUACCAAGUUCUGAUGUUUUGGGAGAAGUACAUAAUUGAAUUAAGAUACAUGUACUAGAUUAUGUACAUGUGAAAGUUACUAAGUACAUAGUCCUUCAUGUCACCAGUUCGAGCCCCCGCAGGGCCACUAGAGGCAUUAUAAACCGGCCGCGUCUUCAGAAUUUCGUGGAACUAACCAUGGUGCACACAUUGAAACAGCGGAUCCCGAUGGAUACAGCUAGUCGGGUUUGCAAAACGAUGCCCGGAAACCACGGUUAAAAAAAAGUUACUUAGACAAAAUACUAUGUAAACAAUAUUGAUUUCUAAAUGUUGCACUUAUCCAACAGCCUUUUGAUUGUAUGUAUCAGAAUUAGAUUCGUGAUAAGUAGCGCAUCUAACUAGCUCCUAAGCUCAUUCGGGCUAAUAAAAGGUGUAACCAUUCACCGACCAAAGUAUUCCAAGGUUACUCAACCUAAUUAGCGUGACCACGACCUACUCAUUAUACACGGACGUCCCUUCGAUGCGGUCAUGGCUGUCCCUCGCCAACUGGCAAGAUUCAAAGCUAUAAAUAUGAAGAGAAAGAACCUUAAAAGGGGGGCUGCUUCUUCUUCUUCACCUUCACUUCUAAAAGAAGAGAAUAUAUAUCAUUGUAAGGCUCUGAACCUCUCGAUGGAGAGGCAGACCAAAUCGAUCCCAUCAAUAAAAUAUCUCUACCCUCC